Molecule: non-coding RNA, 256 nt
Organism: Betaproteobacteria bacterium
Lineage: Bacteria; Pseudomonadati; Pseudomonadota; Betaproteobacteria
Source: Rfam
AAAGUCCCGGUCGGGCGAGGGCUAACCACCCACGCGUAUCGAGUGUUGCACCGACGGCGGAGCCAGAGGUGUCAGGCUGGCGAACAAAGGAGGUGAAGCGUACGAAUCCUGUAGGCCGUAGGGGCAACCGCGUGCCCUGAGAGCUGGUACAGCUUCGAAAUGCGUAUUGCGGAGGGCGAGGGUUUUAACGUCCCCGAAGCCAACAUAAAACAUCCGUCAGGGUGAGGGUGUGGAUGUCCGCCGGAGUCCUCAGGCU